Molecule: ribosomal RNA, 160 nt
Filed under: Acridocarpus natalitius
Lineage: Eukaryota; Viridiplantae; Streptophyta; Magnoliopsida; Malpighiales; Malpighiaceae
Description: 5.8S ribosomal RNA
Rfam family: 5.8S ribosomal RNA
About the family: 5.8S ribosomal RNA (5.8S rRNA) is a component of the large subunit of the eukaryotic ribosome. It is transcribed by RNA polymerase I as part of the 45S precursor that also contains 18S and 28S rRNA.
Source: RNAcentral
ACGACUCUCGGCAACGGAUAUCUCGGCUCUCGCAUCGAUGAAGAACGUAGCAAGAUGCGAUACUUGGUGUGAAUUGCAGAAUCCCGUGAACCAUCGAGUCUUUGAACGCAAGUUGCGCCCGAAGCCUUUCGGCGGAGGGCACGCCUGCCUGGGCGUCGAA